AGUCUUGAUUUAAUGAGUAACUUUUUAAUGGGAACCCCCUCGUCUCCACGCACAGCUGCGCCAACCUUCACGCACAGCCCAGUGCCAGUCCCACGCACAGCCCUCUCUUCUCUCUUCUCUCUUCUCUUCUGCGAUUGUGUCUCUCCACUCUGGUUUGUUAUCUUCGUGCUCGCACAACGCCCUAGAUCCAGUCCAGGGAUAUAGAGCCAAAUUGCUCAAAUACUUGGGUAGAUUUUUCUAGUUUCAAAGUGAGUGAGAAAUUUCAUGUUAAUCUGUUGGCAACCCAGAUGAGUAUUGUCAAAAUGACAAUGAGUGUUUUGAACGGAAACAUAUACCUUUUGUAGAGAAGUGGAAUGGUAAUGGAAACUAGUAGUAGCAAUGAAAAUCUGGCCCAUCCCAAAUGGAGAAAGGUGGCAUAUGGAGGAAUGCAAUUUGGAUUUGAUGACAACUACACAGAUGAAUCUUUUCUCGAAGAUAUGGUAAUGAAUGCCAAUGUUGUUAAGCGGGACAUGUUCAAGGUGAUGCUAGACUCAGUUUCCAUCUCUCAGUACAUAUGUAUUGUUGCUCUUGUUGUCUUGGUAUGGACAUACACUCUUGGAACAACCAUUAAUGAAAGUCUCCUCUUGUUUCUUGAUGUGAGUCUUUUUGUUUCAGGUUUCUUAGUUCUCCUCCUGACCGAAGAAAUGUGUUCCCUAAAUAUUCUUUUCCGCUAUUUUCUUAAAUUUUCCUUUUUCACGACUGGGUUAUAUGUUCUGGCUCCAAUCUAUCAAACUCUCACACGGUCUUUUAGCUCUGACUCCAUUUGGGCAGUAACUGUUUCACUUCUCAUACUCCAUCUCUUCUUGCAUGACUAUUCAGGAUCUCCUGUAGGAGCAACAGGGGCACUACAUAAUCCAAACUUAACCAGCUUUAUUUCCUUGAACGCCUCUAUCGUGGCUUCAGUUUUCAUUGCUUCCCGUCUCCCAUCAAGACUACAUGUUUUCGCUAUCAUGCUGUUCUCAUUGCAGGUCUUCCUCUUCGCUCCACUGGUGACUUGUUGUAUUAAGAAAUACUCUUUUAGGUUGCACCUAUGGUUCUCAUAUAUGUUGAUGAUUGUGACUUUGGCUUUUGUAUAUAUGUGGCAUCAAUUACUUUUUGUACUGUUGUUGGCUCUGUUGGUUUUUGUCAUUGUUGUGUGUCCUUACUGGCUUAUAAGAAUUCAAGAGUACAAGUUUGAGAUCAAUGGUCCCUGGGACGAGGCUAAGCUCUGUUUUGAUGUCACAGAGUGAGAUACCAGUUGCAUCUUUGUCCCCAGGACAGGAGGUUUUGAGCUACAUCCAGUCCUCAUGGCAGAAUUUUUGGUGAUGGGGGGACCAUUCAUGGUAAACAUGGUUUUGUAGCGCCGCAGCAGCAGCUGUUGAUUUUUCAACCCGGUAGAGGUUUUGCGUAAGUGGUAACAUCUGUCUGGAAUGGCCUUGAAACUUGAAGCUCUCUCUUGGAGGAUUGGUUUUAUUCUAGGUCCACAGGAAGCUCUUUUGUUCUUCAGGGGCUGAGCGUAUGUCUUUGCUUUAGAACUGUAACCCCCGCAUCCGUUAGAUGAGCAGUUGGGGAUUGCUUCAUAUUUGUUCUCUCUUACUCUUUGUUCCGCGAGGAGCUCUUUGUGCCCCACCUCCCUCCAUCAGAUUUUGUAGCCAUUCUAUUGUUUUCCCCUGUUAAUGUCAGGCGGCUUUUUUUUUCAAAGAAAGAUGAUUAAAAAAGCAAACUUUUCUUUGAUGAACAAACAAAUAGGUGGAAGGCGGCGGAAAAGCAUUUCAAAUGGGGGAGAUCAGCUCAAGGCUCUAUAUGAUAGUUAUUAACAGAUUAGGCUUCACAGUCUGAUCAUAUAAAAUGUACUUCAAAUGGUCCGUAGCUAACCUGUAUUUUUACAUGGAUUUCCUUGAGUUGUGAAAUUGUGACGCGUGCGCAUUGGGUUCUCAGCUGGCGAUCAUUAUUUUCUAACUGGUGCCGGGACCUACUAAUUGGCUGCAAAUGUAUUACCAUUUUAAUUGCUACUGCUGUUUCUUUUUCAGUUCUUGCAUUUCUAUACUUAUAAUUUCAGUCGUGCAAUGAAAUGAGUGGACUCAUUUUGUA
Malania oleifera is the source of this 2109-nucleotide RNA transcript. It is a transcript of the gene named phosphatidylinositol N-acetylglucosaminyltransferase subunit C-like, with no coding region annotated. The transcript is spliced from 4 exons. The record is from RefSeq and is a predicted model, not a curated record. NCBI's taxonomy places the organism in Eukaryota, Viridiplantae, Streptophyta, Magnoliopsida, Santalales, Ximeniaceae.